Molecule: ribosomal RNA, 468 nt
Filed under: uncultured bacterium
Lineage: Bacteria
Description: partial 16S ribosomal RNA
Rfam family: Bacterial small subunit ribosomal RNA
Source: RNAcentral
GACGAACGCUGGCGGCGUGCUUAACACAUGCAAGUCGAACGGAAAGGCCCUGCUUUUGUGGGGUGCUCGAGUGGCGAACGGGUGAGUAACACGUGAGUAACCUGCCCUUGACUUUGGGAUAACUUCAGGAAACUGGGGCUAAUACCGGAUAGGAGCUCCUGCUGCAUGGUGGGGGUUGGAAAGUUUCGGCGGUUGGGGAUGGACUCGCGGCUUAUCAGCUUGUUGGUGGGGUAGUGGCUUACCAAGGCUUUGACGGGUAGCCGGCCUGAGAGGGUGACCGGCGACAUAGGGACUGGGAUACGGCGCAGACUCCUACGGGAGGCAGCAGUGGGGAAUAUUGCACAAUGGGCGGAAGCCUGAUGCAGCAACGCCGCGUGCGGGAUGACGGACUUCGGGUUGUAAACCGAUUAAGCCUGUGACGAAGCGUGAGUGACGGUAAUGGGUAAAGAAGCACCGGCUAACUACGUG